UUCGUGGAUCACCUCACGGUGCGGAUAAUUUGAAGAGGAUACGGCAGGCUUCCACGGCGAGACGCAAAUCCUGUUCGGAACGGAAAUACCUACCGGGAAAAAGCAACGUGCGUCAGAACCGAACGGCUAGGGGCCAUCUUGUGAGACAAGGGAAAAACAACUCGCCGCUAGCGCAAAGGCAAAACCCCAUCUCCGGUGCGAACUUCCUAGUGCGGAAAAACACUCAUCCAGGGUAGAACAAUGAGAGGCGGAACAGUACACCCCGUCGGAAAAAAGCCUUGCACGUGCUCACCAUCUUGUUACACGCGGGAAACCUCUCGAAGAUCGUACACCCGGGCACGGAAGUACAGG
Ochlerotatus camptorhynchus is the source of this 351-nucleotide long non-coding RNA. RefSeq lists it as uncharacterized. NCBI's taxonomy places the organism in Eukaryota, Metazoa, Arthropoda, Insecta, Diptera, Culicidae. The transcript is spliced from 3 exons. The record is from RefSeq and is a predicted model, not a curated record.